This 74-nucleotide transfer RNA is filed under the name Rariglobus hedericola. RNAcentral's name for it is "Opitutaceae bacterium 53C-WASEF tRNA-Gly". It matches the Rfam family "tRNA". From Rfam's summary of the family: Transfer RNA (tRNA) molecules are approximately 80 nucleotides in length. Their secondary structure includes four short double-helical elements and three loops (D, anti-codon, and T loops). The record is from RNAcentral. Lineage: Bacteria; Pseudomonadati; Verrucomicrobiota; Opitutia; Opitutales; Opitutaceae. RNAcentral also lists the same sequence under 2 other names.
GCGGUCGUAGUUUAGAGGUAAAACUCCUUCCUUCCAAGUAGGUGUCCCGAGUUCGAUUCUCGGCGACCGCACCA